CUGAAUCUCACAUCCAAUCUUCUAUCCUUCUCUAUAUCAAUUACUUUUUUUUUCCAUAUCGAAUCACCACACCUUUAUUUAUAGUGAUUUCCUACCUCUUUUUAGACCUUUCUAGGCAUCUUUUCCAACCGGGAUUUCAUUAGUCAAUUAUGAUUACAAGAAUAUUUCGCACAUUGUAAUUUUCUCCUAGCCUUAUAACGAAUACUGUACUCGUAUUUUACAAUACGACCUCGACCUUUGUAUUCUCCUUAUUUAUACGCUUUCCAUUAAUUGUGUUGUAGGUUGACCUGAAGAUUUUUCACAAGAAAUUUACUAGUAUUAAUCAAUUUUCCUUGUCUAACAUUUGAGGAUUACCGGACGAGUCUUAGCGAAAGACAAAAGUCUUUAAAAAAAAAAAUAAAAUAUAUAAUAAUAUAUAAUAACGAUGUUCACUU
Non-coding RNA from Cinara cedri, 434 nucleotides. The record is from the annotation of a GenBank genome assembly. NCBI's taxonomy places the organism in Eukaryota, Metazoa, Arthropoda, Insecta, Hemiptera, Aphididae.